UGGCCGAGAGCCUCCAGCUUCUGGGAGGUCUUGGCAGGUGCCCUUGUACGGAGGCUGCCUAGGCUGCCUCGUGGAUUCUUCUGUACACCUGUCCUGGUUUUGAACUGAGCUGGCACUUGUUACUAUUCCCAUUGUCACUCCUGACUCAGGGACUGCAAGGGCCCUGGGACCACAGAGCCCAGGCUCCGUGUUUGAGUUCUUACACUCUGUGUCCAUUCUCUCAACACUGCCAGGGAAACCGAGACAAGCAAAAUGAUAUUUACCCAUAAUACCAACUUGAUUCCAGUCUCCGGCUGGCCUUUCUCAGGGCCCUAGGUAAGAAGCCCUGACUCAGGAACAAUUCACAGGCCGAGGGGUGGGGCCAUGGUUGUCCUAGGCCCUGUGUGAUGUCACUUCCACUUACCAGUUCUGUGAACCACCUGCCACCUUAUGGACUGGGUACAAUUACAGAAACAUCUGUCUGUUCACUCUUUUUGUGCUGAGAUUCCCAGAGCCCAGCACUUGUCCUACCUGGGUUUCAGUGUGGCAGCCUCUGGGUACCAGGUGUCCCACGCCCCUACUCUCUGGCUUGAGUUGCCCCACUUGACACUGGCAGAUGGCCCAGGCUGGGUUAGAGGUUGCACUAAACCAGGCCCCAUGAGUGCACCCACACAGCGCCAGCUAAGUCGAGUGGGGCCUUCAUUAGCAAGCAACUUUUGUUCAGAAUUAGAGCCAGUCCUUAAGUGGACCUGGGCCAGGUGGUUGGUCUGACCCCUCCUAACCACAACAGGGGGAAGCUGGUGGAAGAGCUGUUGUUUCAUGGAUACUACGAGGGCUUGGAGGGGGGCUCAGACCCCUGGCCCUGCCCUGAGGCUGCUGUAGACCACCUGCCACCCUGAGGUUUCAGGGACAGUGGCCUUAGAACUCCUCCCACAGCCUCCCACCGAGCCAGGGGCCCUCCAGAGGCCACUGACUGACCUAGAGGGAGUGGUGACCAGGAAAGGGGCCAUUGAGUUGGCCCUCAUCUGCCCACCCACUCCUCACUGGCAGGGAUUUGUGUGAAGACAAGGUAGUGAGGGAUUAAAGGGACAAUGGACUUUAAGACACUCCUACAGGCUUUUCUAAAGAAGCCAGGCUCACCUCUGCUCAGGAAAGACUUCAUGCAGUGCUCAAAUGCUCACAGCCAUCACAGGCCAGGGUUACUAGCAGUCUGUAAUGUUUUAGUGGUACACAUUGAGUCCCUGAUGGGAAAAUCUCUACGUUUUGCUGUUGAGAAAAACAAGGGACAGCAAAAGGCACAUUUAGUGUGGUGUUUGUUCACCAAUACAGAGAAGGCUCUUUAUCCUAAGGGGAGUGGGGCUGCUCAUUAUGUGAACUGAAUCAUUAGCUCAGCCAUCACAGAUAAAGAAGUACCGAUUGGUUUUCAGUAGUUGUUUUCCCACAUUUUGCAACCAUUUUAAUAAACUCUAAAGAGCACAAAACCUGCCCAUAAGCUGUACAACAAAAGCUGCAG
Pipistrellus kuhlii (Kuhl's pipistrelle) is the source of this 1492-nucleotide long non-coding RNA. RefSeq lists it as uncharacterized. The transcript is spliced from 3 exons. The record is from RefSeq and is a predicted model, not a curated record. NCBI's taxonomy places the organism in Eukaryota, Metazoa, Chordata, Mammalia, Chiroptera, Vespertilionidae.